RNAcentral lists this ribosomal RNA (277 nucleotides) under uncultured bacterium. RNAcentral's name for it is "partial 16S ribosomal RNA". It matches the Rfam family "Bacterial small subunit ribosomal RNA", at positions 28 to 304 of the family's 1533-position model. The record is from RNAcentral.
GACAAACGCUGGCGGCGUACCUAAGACAUGCAAGUCGAACGGGGACUGUCGCUUCGGCGAGAGCUCCUAGUGGCGAACGGGUGAGUAACACGUAGGAACCUGACGCACAGUGGGGGAUAACAGGGGGAAACCGCUGCUAAUACCGCAUGUGGUCACAGGUCGAGAGAUCUGUGAAGAAAGGCGCAAGUCGCUGUGUGAGGGGCCUGCGGCCGAUUAGCUAGUUGGUGGGGUAACGGCGCACCAAGGCGACGAUCGGUAGCUGGUCUGAGAGGAUGGU